CUAAAGAAUGGAAGGAAUCAGUUCACAGGAUAUAUGCUUGUUAAUGCUACUCCCAUUUGGGGGAAGUGUAAUUUUCUCCAGUAACCAGGAAAAAUAAGAGAUCACUUUGUUUCUUCUGAUGAUUUAUUUUUAUUUUAAAAGGGAAAUGAAAAUCUAAAAAAUAUAAAAGUUUAAGAAGACAAAGUAGAAACAGUCAAUGGCUCCAUUUCUCUGGCAAACUAAUCAACCAAACUGUUCUAUCUACAUUUGACGGGAAACCCAAAAUUUCAGUGAUCCCACACUAAUGUUCACAUUGUUUUUCUGCUAUAUAGGAACACUUUUAACAUGUUCCCUCUGUCUCACUGUUUGUCAUGUACUAUCUGUAGACUACUUUGCCAACAUUAAAAUGAAAUGUUCAGCUUCAAGCUCAUCAUUCCUGUCUCACUUCACUCCGAAAUCUGCUAGCCACAGAGUUAAAAGGACAGGAUUAAGAGUCAUUAGACACAGUACUAAGGCGAAUUAAAGGGCCUGUUCAAGGGGCAUAACAUCUGCUCCUCAAAUUCCUGCCUAAACAAUGAAGAUUCCGAUCAGAGAGAAGAGAGGGAAAGCCAAUCUAACCAGUAAACCGGAGUCAUGAGGAAGUGAAUGCUCUCUCAGGGAGUAACUCUGACACCAGAGGAAGGCUUAGUGACAUUGUACAAUUGUUUCUGUGAAGUCAUUCAUGGGGCAAGUGGGAGUAUAUGAGUAGAAGUGGAAGGGAGUGGGAAGGUGAAGAUUGAGGAUCCUUUUAAGUAGUUUUUGCUCAGCUAGCAAAACAAGCUGGGACAUGCAAGACAGAUAAACACAGCUGUCUGGGGCUGUCACUUGGGGCUCAGGAGCCAAGGUGUCCUGCUGUAGUGAAAAGUGCACCGGAAUGUGAGUCAGGAGUUCAGGGAUCCAAGUCCUCAUUCUGCUGCUAACUAGCUGCGUGAUGAUGAGCAAGUCCACUGGCUUCACUAGACUCAGUCUCUUUUUUUUUUUUUUUUCGAUACAGAGUCUCGCUCUGUCACCCAGGCUGGAGUGCAGUGGCACGAUCUCAGCUCACUGCAACCACCACCUCCUGGGUUCAAGCAAUUCUCCUGCUUCAGCCUCCUAAGUAGCUGGGAUUACAGGCGCGUGCCACCACGCUGGGCUAAUUUUUGUAUUUUUAGUAGAGACGGGGUUUCGCCAUGUUGGUCAGGCUGGUCUCAAACUCCUGACCUCGUGUUCCGCCCACCUUGGCCUCCCAAAGUGCUGGGAUUACAGGCAUGAGCCACCACGCCCGGCCUCAGUCUCCUUAUUUCAUGGGAAAUGAGGAGACAAGACUAGAUGGCAGCACUAUACAGAGAUGCUCCUGAACCCACGGAGUUCAUGUACUAGUUAAUAUAACUUUGCUGAGUCCUGGUUUCCUCCACUGAAAAAAACAUGAGAAAUAAUACUUUUUAUAAAAUUGGUGUGCUAGGUGAGUGAGAAACAAGCUAAGAAUACUACAGCACCAAAGAGCUCUUCUGGAGAAAUUCGUCAGAGAUGCCCAAAAUCCAGAAUACUUUAUUUACCUCAGCUUCACUCCUAGACUUGGACUUCUAUCUCCCUUCCUGAAUAGCUAUGGGGGCGUUCUUUGUGUGUGACUGCCUCUUUGAUAUCCACUUACUCACCAUGAUGCUGUCUGUUGGAUCUCAGACAAAUU
Molecule: long non-coding RNA, 1684 nt
Filed under: Homo sapiens (human)
Lineage: Eukaryota; Metazoa; Chordata; Mammalia; Primates; Hominidae
Description: HSALNT0328534
Source: RNAcentral